This 497-nucleotide ribosomal RNA is filed under the name uncultured bacterium. RNAcentral describes it as "partial 16S ribosomal RNA". It matches the Rfam family "Bacterial small subunit ribosomal RNA", at positions 28 to 507 of the family's 1533-position model. The record is from RNAcentral.
GGUGAACGCUGGCGGCGUGCCUAAUACAUGCAAGUCGAGCGAACAGACGAGGAGCUUGCUCCUCUGACGUUAGCGGCGGACGGGUGAGUAACACGUGGAUAACCUACCUAUAAGACUGGGAUAACUUCGGGAAACCGGAGCUAAUACCGGAUAAUAUAUUGAACCGCAUGGUUCAAUAGUGAAAGACGGUUUUGCUGUCACUUAUAGAUGGAUCCGUGCCGCAUUAGCUAGUUGGUAAGGUAACGGCUUACCAAGGCAACGAUGCGUAGCCGACCUGAGAGGGUGGUCGGCCACACUGGAACUGAGACACGGUCCAGACUCCUACGGGAGGCAGCAGUAGGGAAUCUUCCGCAAUGGGCGAAAGCUUGACGGAGCAACGCCGCGUGAGUGAUGAAGGUCUUCGGAUCGUAAAACUCUGUUAUUAGGGAAGAACAAAUGUGUAAGUAACUAUGCACGUCUUGACGGUACCUAAUCAGAAAGCCACGGCUAACUACGUG